This 120-nucleotide ribosomal RNA is filed under the name Diaphorina citri (Asian citrus psyllid). The record is from RNAcentral. Lineage: Eukaryota; Metazoa; Arthropoda; Insecta; Hemiptera; Psyllidae.
GCCAGCAGGGAUAGCAUGUUAAAUAAAUCAGUCCCCAUGGAUCGCUCAAGAUAAGCGACGUUGCGCGUGGCUGGUAUUCGAAUGGGUGACCAUCUGCAAGCGACCUAGCGCUUACUACCC